GGCUGUAUUUGCCUCUCUUCGAGCUGAUCGUUUCAUCUAGCGGUGAACAGGGAAUCAUUUGUUGGGAUCAGACUUGGACGUACCUUUCAUUGUUCAACGCCCAAAUCUGCGGCCUUUAGAAUAUGAGAGGAUGGACCCAAAAUAAGGGACUUGCCAAAACAAACAAUAGAGAUGAAAGAG
Molecule: long non-coding RNA, 180 nt
Organism: Dermochelys coriacea (leatherback sea turtle)
Lineage: Eukaryota; Metazoa; Chordata; Testudines; Dermochelyidae
Exons: 3
Source: RefSeq, a predicted model, not a curated record